GGAAGAUUGGCCAGGGCCUGAGAGAACCAGGACUCAAAGGUCCUCCCAAGGGACAGGAAUUGUUCCUCUUCUUCUCUAACUGGAUCCAUGAACCUCCUGCUUUCCCUCCUCCGUUUCUCAGCGACCUCUGCCGGUGAAGAAAGGCAGCUUAAGACUGCAACAAGGACCACACGGCAGAAGCCAGGGAGUUUCAAAUGUAAGGAAUGUCUCCAUCACCAACAAAUGACCGAGGGGUGUGCGUCAGGACAACCCCAGAAAAAGAAGUUUCAAGAGAAAUGUGGAGAGGAAUCCUUAAGUCUCAUCACUGAGAAAUCCCAGGAAAAUUAAUGGUUCUCUUCCUCGAGGUCCUGCUUUGAUGCCAACAUGAAAGGGAACUGUGUGCAUGCCAUCCGCCUAGAAAGCAACCCCUCAGCAUCACAAACAAGGUCUCAGAGGACAGGACCCUUCCGGAACCUCGCGGGAUCAUUUUUUCAUUACUUCUCCCAUCUUCUGGAAGCUCCUGAUUUUGGUGGCUUCAAGCUACAUCACCACCAUCUCUGCUCACUGGGCCUCCUUCCUCCAGUGUCUGUGUGUCAACUGUUACAUAGAGAACAAUGCUGACUGAAUGCAGAGCCUACGGCUAAAUGCUAAGCCUAAAAAGUAAAUCCUUACCCUGUAAAGACCUUUUUUCCAAUGAGGUCACAGCCUGAAGUCCCAAUAGAUGUGAAUUCGAAAG
Molecule: long non-coding RNA, 715 nt
Filed under: Rattus norvegicus (Norway rat)
Lineage: Eukaryota; Metazoa; Chordata; Mammalia; Rodentia; Muridae
Description: long non-coding RNA NONRATT013310
Source: RNAcentral